This 995-nucleotide ribosomal RNA is filed under the name uncultured bacterium. Its description in RNAcentral is "bacterial SSU rRNA". It matches the Rfam family "Bacterial small subunit ribosomal RNA", at positions 355 to 1375 of the family's 1533-position model. The record is from RNAcentral.
UGGGGAAUAUUGCACAAUGGGGGAAACCCUGAUGCAGCGACGCCGCGUGGAGGAAGAAGGUCUUCGGAUUGUAAACUCCUGUUGUUGGGGAAGAUAAUGACGGUACCCAACAAGGAAGUGACGGCUAACUACGUGCCAGCAGCCGCGGUAAAACGUAGGUCACAAGCGUUGUCCGGAAUUACUGGGUGUAAAGGGAGCGCAGGCGGGAAGACAAGUUGGAAGUGAAAUCUAUGGGCUCAACCCAUAAACUGCUUUCAAAACUGUUUUUCUUGAGUAGUGCAGAGGUAGGCGGAAUUCCCGGUGUAGCGGUGGAAUGCGUAGAUAUCGGGAGGAACACCAGUGGCGAAGGCGGCCUACUGGGCACCAACUGACGCUGAGGCUCGAAAGUGUGGGUAGCAAACAGGAUUAGAUACCCUGGUAGUCCACACCGUAAACGAUGAUUACUAGGUGUUGGAGGAUUGACCCCUUCAGUGCCGCAGUUAACACAAUAAGUAAUCCACCUGGGGAGUACGACCGCAAGGUUGAAACUCAAAGGAAUUGACGGGGGCCCGCACAAGCAGUGGAGUAUGUGGUUUAAUUCGACGCAACGCGAAGAACCUUACCAAGUCUUGACAUCCUGCGACGGUGCUGGAAACAGUACUUUCCUUCGGGACGCAGAGACAGGUGGUGCAUGGUUGUCGUCAGCUCGUGUCGUGAGAUGUUGGGUUAAGUCCCGCAACGAGCGCAACCCUUAUGGUCAGUUACUACGCAAGAGGACUCUGGCCAGACUGCCGUUGACAAAACGGAGGAAGGUGGGGAUGACGUCAAAUCAUCAUGCCCUUUAUGACUUGGGCUACACACGUACUACAAUGGCGUUAAACAAAGAGAAGCAAGACCGCGAGGUGGAGCAAAACUCAGAAACAACGUCCCAGUUCGGACUGCAGGCUGCAACUCGCCUGCACGAAGUCGGAAUUGCUAGUAAUCGUGGAUCAGCAUGCCACGGUGAAUACGUUCCC